UCUUCCGCGAUGGACGACAGUCUGACGGAGCAACGCCGCGUGAGUGAUGAAGGUUUUCGGAUCGUAAAACUCUGUUGUUAGGGAAGAACAAGUACCGUUCGAAUAGGGCGGUACCUUGACGGUGCCUAACCAGAAAGCCACGGGUAACUAAGUGCCAGCAGCCGCGGUAAUACGUAGGUGGCAAGCGUUGUCCGGAAUUAUUGGGCGUAAAGCGCGCGCAGGCGGUUUCUUAAGUCUGAUGUGAAAGCCCCCGGCGCAACCGGGGAGGGUCAUUGGAAACUGGGGAACUUGAGUGCAGAAGAGGAGAGUGGAAUUCCACGUGUAGCGGUGAAAUGCGUAGAGAUGUGGAGGAACACCAGUGGCGAAGGCGACUCUCUGGUCCGUAACUGACGCUGAGGCGCGAAAGCGUGGGGAGCGAACAG
RNAcentral lists this ribosomal RNA (422 nucleotides) under uncultured bacterium. Its description in RNAcentral is "bacterial SSU rRNA". It matches the Rfam family "Bacterial small subunit ribosomal RNA", at positions 362 to 775 of the family's 1533-position model. The record is from RNAcentral.